GGUAAGAUGGCUGAUAUAAGCGAUGGCCUGUAGUCCCAUCAAUGAAGGUUGCAACCCUUUUCGUACCA
This 68-nucleotide transfer RNA is filed under the name Austrofundulus limnaeus. It matches the Rfam family "tRNA". Rfam says of the family: Transfer RNA (tRNA) molecules are approximately 80 nucleotides in length. Their secondary structure includes four short double-helical elements and three loops (D, anti-codon, and T loops). Further hydrogen bonds mediate the characteristic L-shaped molecular structure. tRNAs have two regions of fundamental functional importance: the anti-codon, which is responsible for specific mRNA codon recognition, and the 3' end, to which the tRNAs corresponding amino acid is attached (by aminoacyl-tRNA synthetases). tRNAs cope with the degeneracy of the genetic code in two manners: having more than one tRNA (with a specific anti-codon) for a particular amino acid; and 'wobble' base-pairing, i.e. permitting non-standard base-pairing at the 3rd anti-codon position. Lineage: Eukaryota; Metazoa; Chordata; Actinopteri; Cyprinodontiformes; Rivulidae. The record is from Rfam by way of RNAcentral.